This 233-nucleotide long non-coding RNA is filed under the name Gossypium barbadense (sea-island cotton). RNAcentral's name for it is "long non-coding RNA (GBAR_LNC008350)". Lineage: Eukaryota; Viridiplantae; Streptophyta; Magnoliopsida; Malvales; Malvaceae. The record is from RNAcentral.
GAGUUGUAAUGUGUAAAAUAGUUGAAAUUAUGAGUUGUUAUAGUUAUGAAAACGGUUCAUCUAGACUCAAGGAGUAAAGAAAUGUGAUAAAAAUUAUUUUACGAGCAUUGGGGCAAAAGUGCAAAUAUGCAAAGGUCUAGGGGUUAAAAUGAAAAUUUGUAAAAAUAUGAUUUUUAGACUCAUAUGAAUAUUGUGACUGAUUGGUAGGCUAAAUGUGAUAUUAUAGAUCAAGG